Long non-coding RNA from Gadus macrocephalus (Pacific cod), 2721 nucleotides. RefSeq lists it as uncharacterized. The record is from RefSeq and is a predicted model, not a curated record. The transcript has 3 exons. NCBI's taxonomy places the organism in Eukaryota, Metazoa, Chordata, Actinopteri, Gadiformes, Gadidae.
CCCCACCCCCUCGUGCAGUACCCCGCCCCCACCCAGAACCCGCUCACACCGCAUUGAUAUCCAACAAAUAUUCUGCAUCCACAUUAGUGAUCGGCCAUCCCUUGGUAGAGCCCACUGGGUAAGUCGCGGGCCGGUCCAUCCAUCACACACCUGGGUUGGCCCUCCCACUUGGAAGUGAAAUGGAUCGAUUCGAAAUUGUUCUUGAAAUAGUGGGUUCCCAAAGACAAACUAUACAUAAACCUCCACCCUUAAUAACCAACCUGACACAUUUAGGAAACAAUCAUUAUUUCAGCUAGUUCAUUUAGCUGAUAUAUGUUGCUGUAAGUGGAUACCUUUCAAAUUAUGUUUUAAAUCAGCGUUUAAAAUCAUUAAAAUCAUUCUUUUGAAGAAUGCUAAGCAUGUGGUGUUUUACAACUCUAGACCUGGGACGAAGGCCGAGAUCACAACCACCAAGAAUAAUAAUUAUAAUAAAUAAUUACAUCUCUUCUAUUGGUUUUUGGACGUGACCUUGAUGCAUUUCUGAAUUCCGAAAUGCUUGCCUUUAAGCAUUCAAACUUCUGGAAAUAUUUCCAAAGACUCUGAAGUGAACGUAUUGUGAUCCUUUGAGGGCCCGAGGGCCGCCUGCUGAGGCCCCUCUGCCUUCAACAGUCUGUGGUCAAUCCCAGAGCUAGAGCCCUGCUUCCGGCGCUGCCCUGUCCUGUUGCAUCAUCGCUGCUUCCUCCAUCACCCAGGAAGUGACCUUUGACCUGUCGUGUCAUUUGCUAUAUCGGUUUGGAGUUAUUAAAGGGGACAUAUUAUACCACCAGGUGUGGGUGUGAUUAGCCUUACAAGCCGUUUCGAAAUCACAAGUGGGCGUGUCCACCUAGAUCUGUGCUGGAUAGAUCAGUCUACCAGCCUACCCAGUGGACUGAGGUGAACGUUGCUCAUCUAUCCAGCACAGAUCUAGGUGGACACGCCCACUAGUGAUGUCAUAUGGGGCCGAUUUUUGAAACGGCUUGUAAGGCUAAUCACACUCACACGUGGUGGUAUAAUAUGUCCCCUUUAAGGAAUCUGCUGGUUUUGCCGAAGUGUAUGUGUGUUUGUGUCUGUGUCUGUGUGUAUGAAUGUGUAUGAGAUGCUUUCAAAGAUAUUUUUUACCUCUCAACACAUCCUAAAUAUGUCUUUGUGGGGAGAACAUAGGGACUGUGGUAUAUUCAUGAGGACCAAACUAGGGAACUUGAGUACUUAUACUAUGUCUUUGUGAGAAUAAAGGAGAGAUGUGUGUGUGGGAAACACAUGGGGACUGUCUUUUUGAGGACAUCAUGGGGACCACGUCUUUAUGAGGACAGCUUUUUAACUUUGUCUGAAAGCUGUGUUGUAUGUAAGUGAUCUUUAGAAUCCUUUCAGAAUCCUCCCCUGUUUCUAAUAAAUGCAACGCCACUGUUCUGCCGUGGGAUAUGCACAUAAAUGUUUUUCAAAGCGGAAAACACAGUUUUCGUGUUGCUAGUCGCUUCUUUGGCAUAACCAUCAUUAAUUCUGGAUUUCUCCUUUUUGAAGAGUAUUGCCACUUGGCUGGCUGACCUCCAGUCUCUGUGUGUGUGUGUGUGCUCUCUAACUGUGAUACGUACAAGUCAAAGGUACCACUAGCUGAAUGAUGUACAAGUCACUGCAAGAAUGCUUCCACAAGCUAUUGUGAUCGUAGCUUCGGCAAGCAAGACAGCUCUUCCAUUGCAUUCUCGCUGAGCACCACCGGCUCCCAUUGCUUCUCGGCUUCUCAUGCGCUCUUCAUCUGCUUUUUGAGAGAAGAGACACCCACUGUUAGAGCAAGGCGCUUCCACUUCCAUGGGUAGGGGUUCUAUUCCCAGGGCAGAGCAAGGCACUAACACUGCCAGCCAGGGGAAGGGGUUCCAUUUCCUCAGCUCGGUGGGUAGAUCGAGAAAGAGUUAGGGGUUAUAUUCCCUUUGUAGCUUAGUAUGUACAGCAAGACACACACACUGCAGGGUGGGGGUUAUAUUAGCUGUGUAGCUCGGUUGGUAGAGCAAGGGAUUGACAUUGCCUUGGCUGGGGGUUCUAUUCCCUGGCUAGCUCAGUAGGUACUAACACUGUAGGGUUUGGGGUUCUAUCCCCUGGCUAGCUCAGUAGGUAGAGAAUUGCACUCACACCGCGGGGGUGGGGGUUCUCUACGCUGUGUUGCUCGGUAGGUAGAGCAAGGCACCAACACGGCUUCAUUCAGGUAGAUAUUCAGUCAGUAGAGUGGAAUCCUCUCUCUCUCUCCUCCUCUCUCAUCCCAUCUUAUCCCGCCAUGUUUACCCACGCCGGCCACGCCAGCCACGCCAUGCCCCUCCCUGUUGGCACUCUCUGUGACGUUUGAACUCUAUGCCCAUUGGUUAACCACCUGCCUUCUUUCUUUCUCUUCAUUUUGCGUCUGGAUCGACAUUUUGUCUCUCCUUCUCUCCAUCUCUCCGACCCUUUCCCCCUUCUCCCCGCAUCCUUCUCCAUCUCUCCACUCUCCCUCCCUGUGUCCUCCCCCUCGCUCCUUUUUUCAUCUCCUCUCUCCGACCCUUUCCUCCUUCUCACCUCCACCUCCACCAUCUCUCCCUCUGCCACCUCUCCCUCUCAUCUUCUCUUCCUGCAUCUCUCCCUGUCUCUCGUCCUCCCUCCCUCCCUCCAUUCUGUGCACUCUCUUGGUAACCCCUCCAUCCUCACUGACCCCACCCCCUUCCCCUGAUUGGUCCUCCUCCC